RNAcentral lists this ribosomal RNA (254 nucleotides) under uncultured bacterium. RNAcentral describes it as "partial 16S ribosomal RNA". It matches the Rfam family "Bacterial small subunit ribosomal RNA", at positions 524 to 776 of the family's 1533-position model. The record is from RNAcentral.
CACGUAGGGUGCGAGCGUUGUCCGGAAUUAUUGGGCGUAAAGAGCUCGUAGGCGGUGUGUCGCGUCGGCCGUGAAAACCUGCAGCUCAACUGUGGGCUUGCGGUCGAUACGGGCAUCACUGGAGUUCGGCAGGGGAGACUGGAAUUCCUGGUGUAGCGGUGGAAUGCGCAGAUAUCAGGAGGAACACCGGUGGCGAAGGCGGUUCUCUGGGCAUGACCUGACGCUGAGGAGCGAAAGCAUGGGGAGCGAACAGG